This 111-nucleotide RNase P RNA is filed under the name Neotoma lepida (desert woodrat). Its description in RNAcentral is "Nuclear RNase P". It matches the Rfam family "Nuclear RNase P", at positions 1 to 140 of the family's 301-position model. From Rfam's summary of the family: Ribonuclease P (RNase P) is a ubiquitous endoribonuclease, found in archaea, bacteria and eukarya as well as chloroplasts and mitochondria. The record is from Rfam by way of RNAcentral. Lineage: Eukaryota; Metazoa; Chordata; Mammalia; Rodentia; Cricetidae.
GCUGAGGGGAGACUAUCAGGAGGGCCACAGGAAGAAUGCUUGUCACUCCAAGGCCUUUGGGAAGGUCUGAGACUGGGGCCUCCCCUGUGGUGAAGUGAGUUCCCAGACAGU